ACCCUGUUGAGCUUGACUCUAGUCUGACGUUGUGAAAUGACUUAUGAGGUGUAGCAUAAGUGGGAGGCUUUGCCGACGAUGAAAUACCACUACUCGUAUUGUCGUUUUACUUAUUUCGUUACGUAGUAUCCGCUCAACCUAAUACGUUGUUCGGUUCUAGUGUUAACCUGCGCUUUUUGUGUAGCAAACUACGCGAAAGACAGCGUCAGGUGGGGAGUUUGGCUGGGG
This 228-nucleotide ribosomal RNA is filed under the name Schizochytrium aggregatum. Its description in RNAcentral is "partial Eukaryotic large subunit ribosomal RNA". It matches the Rfam family "Eukaryotic large subunit ribosomal RNA", at positions 2410 to 2630 of the family's 3401-position model. Lineage: Eukaryota; Bigyra; Thraustochytrida; Thraustochytriidae. The record is from RNAcentral.